This 27-nucleotide small RNA is filed under the name Bombyx mori (domestic silkworm). RNAcentral's name for it is "ovarian small RNA-13207". Lineage: Eukaryota; Metazoa; Arthropoda; Insecta; Lepidoptera; Bombycidae. The record is from RNAcentral.
CAGCCGAGCUUCCUCCUCCGCGAACGC